Molecule: ribosomal RNA, 355 nt
Filed under: uncultured Glomeraceae
Lineage: Eukaryota; Fungi; Glomeromycota; Glomeromycetes; Glomerales; Glomeraceae
Description: SSU rRNA
Rfam family: Eukaryotic small subunit ribosomal RNA
Source: RNAcentral
AGCAGCCGCGGUAAUUCCAGCUCCAAUAGCGUAUAUUAAAGUUGUUGCAGUUAAAAAGCUCGUAGUUGAAUUUCGGAAUCAGUAUGUCGGUCGUGCCUCCGGUAUGUACUGGCGUCACUGGUUCCUCCCUUCUGACGAACCAUCAUGCUAUUAAUUUAGUGUGGUGGGAAAUCAGGACUGUUACUUUGAAAAAAUUAGAGUGUUUAAAGCAGGCUCACGCUUGAAUACAUUAGCAUGGAAUAAUGAAAUAGGACGUUGAUCCUAUUUUGUUGGUUUCUAGGAUUGACGUAAUGAUUAAUAGGGAUAGUUGGGGGCAUUAGUAUUCAAUUGUCAGAGGUGAAAUUCUUGGAUUUAU